RNAcentral lists this unclassified non-coding RNA (26 nucleotides) under Mus musculus (house mouse). RNAcentral's name for it is "oocyte_clustered_small_RNA5229". Lineage: Eukaryota; Metazoa; Chordata; Mammalia; Rodentia; Muridae. The record is from RNAcentral.
UGCACAUCUUCCUUUAGACACUCUAG